GAAAGCGGAAAAAAGUUCAGAAAAUGUAACAUAUAACCUACACUUGAACUGAACUCAACCUGACGAAUGCAACAUUUAGCCAUGGCUGCCUAGAAGAUAUAUAUUAAUGAAUACACAGUACACAAUGAUCGAUUAUGAUAAGCUCAUUUGAACUAUUGAGCAAAGAAAUUUUGCUUCUUGAAACCAAGUUUCUCGAGCAUUCUUGCUGUUUCCAACUUCCAUAAUGGGGGCCAAGAAAAAAAAA
Molecule: unclassified non-coding RNA, 244 nt
Filed under: Hevea brasiliensis (rubber tree)
Lineage: Eukaryota; Viridiplantae; Streptophyta; Magnoliopsida; Malpighiales; Euphorbiaceae
Source: RNAcentral